Molecule: ribosomal RNA, 117 nt
Filed under: Aeromonas salmonicida
Lineage: Bacteria; Pseudomonadati; Pseudomonadota; Gammaproteobacteria; Aeromonadales; Aeromonadaceae
Also listed under: 5 other names
Description: partial 16S ribosomal RNA
Rfam family: Bacterial small subunit ribosomal RNA
Source: RNAcentral
AAAUUGAAGAGUUUGAUCAUGGCUCAGAUUGAACGCUGGCGGCAGGCCUAACACAUGCAAGUCGAGCGGCAGCGGGAAAGUAGCUUGCUACUUUUGCCGGCGAGCGGCGGACGGGUG